AAAGAUGCCAGAUGAUUUAUAUUGUUUUAUUAAUUGUUUGGAGAAGAUUGUAUCUUGUAUGCAAACCAUGUCUUGUAUGCUGUAAAGAACUAUAAAAUCGUGUAAUUUGAUGCCAGAUUAAUGAAUAUUGCAUUUUCUAUUUCAAUUCUUCUUCUUAUUCUUUUGGCUUCUAAAAUACUUUUUAAAAUAUGUAAUUUUACACUGCUUAACGACUCAUUAUACUAUUUUCUUCAAAUCCUGCCUUAUAUAUUGUAAAGAACUAUAAAAUCGU
Molecule: long non-coding RNA, 271 nt
Filed under: Ananas comosus (pineapple)
Lineage: Eukaryota; Viridiplantae; Streptophyta; Magnoliopsida; Poales; Bromeliaceae
Description: long non-coding RNA (ACOM_LNC031480)
Source: RNAcentral